GGUAGUAGCAAAUAUUCAAGUGAGAACCUUGAAGGCUGAAGUGGAGCAAGGUUCCAUGUGAACAGCAGUUGGACAUGGGUCAGUCGAUCCUAAGAAAACGGCGAAAGCUUGUUCGAAUUUGCGACAUGAAUUGUAAGACUGUGUGAAUUGUGUGUGUGUGCAGUUGUCGUAUGUUUUCGAAAGGGAAUCCGGUUGAUAUUCCGGAACCGAGUAACGGAGACAAAGAGUAGCGCUUUAAUCUCUCUGUGGGGUUGGCGUUCAACUCAAUCGCGCGGUAACGCAAGCGAACUCGGAAAAUGACCGUCGUGAGUUUCGAAAAGAGUUUUCUUUUCUUUUUAAGGGACGCAUUCCCUGGAACCGGGUUGUCCGGAGAUAGGGAUUCUGGUAUCCAUAAAACGCCGACUUUUUCACGGUGUUCGGAGCGCUCUCGUCGGUACGUGAAAAUCCGAGCGACGCCUGGUAAAUCUCGUACUUGGUCGUACUGAUAUCCGCAGCAGGUCUCCAAGGUGAAUAGCCUCUGGCCGAUAGAAUAAUGUAGGUAAGGGAAGUCGGCAAAACGGAUCCGUAACUUCGGAACAAGGAUUGGCUCUAAGGGCUGGGCCGAUCGGGCUGAGGUUUCAAGCGUGCAGUGUAUGCUUGGCUGAGUUGUGUUGAGGACUUGUUCACUUGCCGCCGUUUGUUCGGUUGGUCUAGUGUAUUCGAGUCUGAAGCAGAGCUGGCCGACAGACCGGCACGUGCAGAACCUGAGCUGCGCGGCUGUCCGUUUACGUGUACAGACCGUUUCGGUCGGCAUUCAACAGCCAACUUAGAACUGGCACGGACACAAGGAAUCUGACUGUAUAAUUAAAACAAAGCAUUGCGAUGGCCGAUGAUCGGUGAUGACGCAAUGUGAUUUCUGCCCAGUGCUCUGAAUGUCAAAGUGAAGAAAUUCAAUCAAGCGCGGGUAAACGGCGGGAGUAACUAUGACUCUCUUAAGGUAGCCAAAUGCCUCGUCAUCUAAUUAGUGACGCGUAUGAAUGGAUCAACAAGAUUCCUUCUGUCCCUAUCUACUAUCUAGCGAAACCACAGCCAAGGGAACGGGCUUGGCAAAAUCAGCGGGGAAAGAAGACCCUGUUGAGCUUGACUCUAGUCUGACUCUGUGAAGAGACAUGAAAGGUGUAGCAUAGGUGGGAGAUUGUCAAAUUGCCAUCGUUCGCGCGGUGGUCCGGUGAUCGCCAAUGAAAUACCACUACUUUGAUCGUUUCUUUACUUAUUCGGUAAAGCGAAAAAAUUGUGGCCAAUUUGGCGGUUUAUGUCGCUGUUGGUCAUUGUUUUCAUGUUAGAUUGAAGCUUUGUUUACAGCCGUCGCUUUGUGUCGCCAUUUGACGCAUUGUUGUACUGGGUUAUCCCGGUGUGUGGUGUAGUCAGUAUGGAUGAUCGGCGAUAGGUUUGAAGUGAUUCGCUCCGGAAACAGUGUCAGACGGGGAGUUUGACUGGGGCGGUACAUCUGUUAAACGAUAACGCAGGUGUCCUAAGGUAAGCUCAGCGAGGACAGAAACCUCGCUUAGAGUAAACGGGCACAAGCUUACUUGAUUUUGAUUUCCAGUACGAAUAGAAACCGCGAAAGCGUGGCCUAUCGAUCCUUUUGAUUGUGUAGAUUUCAUGCAAGAGGUGUCAGAAAAGUUACCACAGGGAUAACUGGCUUGUGGCAGCCAAGCGUCCAUAGCGACGUUGCUUUUUGAUCCUUCGAUGUCGGCUCUUCCUAUCAUUGCGAAGCAGAAUUCGCCAAGCGUUGGAUUGUUCACCCACCAAUAGGGAAGGUGAGCUGCGGUCGCCCAGAAACGCCGCCGGGUUCCGCGGCACGGUGCGCUACGCUUCGCUUACUGCUCACGACAACAAGGAGAUGGGUCGCCACGAUGAUCUCUGGUCCCUGUUUUACAUGAUUGUGGAAUUUUUGAACGGUUCGUUGCCUUGGCGCAAAGUGAAGAACAAAGAAGAGGUGGGUCGUUUGAAAAAGGAGCUCACCGCCAAACGUUUGACCGAAGGCUUGCCAACUGAGCUGCGUCAAUUUGCCAGCCACUUGGAAACGCUCAGCUAUUCGAUAAAGCCCAACUACGAGUAUUUGGCCAAGUGCCUUACGCAAAUUUU
RNAcentral lists this ribosomal RNA (2127 nucleotides) under Trichinella sp. T6. RNAcentral's name for it is "eukaryotic LSU rRNA". The stretch from base 1 to 1888 matches the Rfam family "Eukaryotic large subunit ribosomal RNA", at positions 1456 to 3401 of the family's 3401-position model. Lineage: Eukaryota; Metazoa; Nematoda; Enoplea; Trichinellida; Trichinellidae. The record is from RNAcentral.